CACCAAGCCUGCGAGCCCUGGCCACGAUGUGGGCUCUGCAAGGGGCUACGGACAGGCAGGGGGAGAGCCCGGGUUUGCGCACACCUUCCAGCCCCUGGAGGGAGCCUGCUCGGCUUCGAACGCCUUCGAACUUUUGACCUUCAAAGGAGUCCCUGGAAAAGGUCAGGAGCGCCUGCUGCAGGCACGGUUGCCGAAGGCCAGGCCUUCCUGGCGCAGGGGAGGGCCAGGGGAGGGAAGCGGAUACUCAGUCGCUGUCCGACGGCGAGUUUUCGGAGCAGCAGGCUCAUGAUCCAGGGCCAGUGGCGAGAGCAGUGACACCGAGAACCCAAAUCUCCGCGCCCGCAUCCGCGGCCCGGUGUCCUCCCGGCCCCUGCUGACCUCCAGAUCACGCACCCCACUGCUCCACGGCUCUGCAGCCUGUGGCACACGGCCGAGAGUCCCCACAUGAUCUCGACGCCAAGCGACCUUGGCCCUUAAUCGCCCAACGCCGAUUCCUCAAAAUUCCGGCUGCGCUGAAUCGGGCUGCUUUUGCCGCCGCCCCGGCAGUUGGGUCCUGUUUCCGCCGGCGCCCUGGGAGAGGCCUCACCACUCGGCUGGGCUCCCUGGCCCCUCCCUUCCCCUGGCCUGAGCGCCCCUGCGGCCUCCCGCUCCUCCUGAGAAGGCGACAAUCUCUUUGCACCUUAGUGUUUCGAGGACAGAAAGGGCAGAAGGGUCACUUCGGAGCCACUCACGCCGUUUUCAUGUGCGUGUGUAAUGGGGGGAGGGGAGCUCCCGGCUUUCCCCUUUUCAGCUCUUGGACCUGCAACACCGGGAGGGCGAGGACGCGGGACCAGCGCACCCUCGGAAGGCUCGAUCCUCCCCGGCAGGGCGCCUGGCCAACGAGUCGCGCCGCCUCCUCUCGGCCGC
Molecule: long non-coding RNA, 906 nt
Filed under: Pan troglodytes (chimpanzee)
Lineage: Eukaryota; Metazoa; Chordata; Mammalia; Primates; Hominidae
Description: long non-coding RNA NONPTRT009387
Source: RNAcentral